RNAcentral lists this ribosomal RNA (253 nucleotides) under uncultured bacterium. RNAcentral describes it as "partial 16S ribosomal RNA". It matches the Rfam family "Bacterial small subunit ribosomal RNA", at positions 524 to 776 of the family's 1533-position model. The record is from RNAcentral.
UACGGGGGGGGCAAGCGUUGUUCGGAAUUACUGGGCGUAAAGGGCUCGUAGGCGGCCAACUAAGUCGGACGUGAAAUCCCUCGGCUUAACCGGGGAACUGCGUCCGAUACUGGAUGGCUUGGAUUCGGGAGAGGGAUGCGGAAUUCCAGGUGUAGCGGUGAAAUGCGUAGAUAUCUGGAGGAACACCGGUGGCGAAGGCGGCAUCCUGGACCGAUAUUGACGCUGAGGAGCGAAAGCCAGGGGAGCAAACGGG